This 463-nucleotide ribosomal RNA is filed under the name uncultured bacterium. Its description in RNAcentral is "partial 16S ribosomal RNA". It matches the Rfam family "Bacterial small subunit ribosomal RNA", at positions 28 to 507 of the family's 1533-position model. The record is from RNAcentral.
GAUGAACGCUGACAGAAUGCUUAACACAUGCAAGUCGAUGGGGAAGUGGUGCUUGCACCAUGGCAACCAUGGCGGACGGGUGAGUAACGCGUAAGGGACUUACCUGCAGGACUGGGAUAACAGGGGGAAACUCCUGACAAGACCUGAUAAUGUCAUGGAGCUGCAUGGCUUUAUGAUGAAAGGAGACGCCUGCGGAGAGCCUUGCGUCCUAUUAGCUAGUUGGUGAGGUAAUGGCUCACCAAGGCGAAGAUAGGUAGCCGGCCUGAGAGGGUGGACGGCCACAAGGGGACUGAGAUGCGGCCCUUGCGCCUACGGGAGGCAGCAGUGGGGAAUAUUGGACAAUGGGGGCAACCCUGAUCCAGCAAUUCUGUGUGCACGAAGAAGGUUUUCGGAUUGUAAAGUGCUUUCAGCAGGGAAGAAGUAAGUGACGGUACCUGCAGAAGAAGCGACGGCUAAAUACGUG